Molecule: long non-coding RNA, 952 nt
Filed under: Nicotiana benthamiana
Lineage: Eukaryota; Viridiplantae; Streptophyta; Magnoliopsida; Solanales; Solanaceae
Description: long non-coding RNA (NBEN_LNC031223)
Source: RNAcentral
GAGAAAUAAUUGAAGAAGCGGAGGAAUACAAAGCAGGAAAUAAACUGUAAGUUGCAUUCUUCUUUCAUUUCACAUGGCUGAAAAUGAUAAUAUUGGUAAAGUAGCCGAUACUCGACAGUUUCAAAACAAAGGAGAAAACGAUCUCGGGCAUGGGAUUUUUUUGAAGAAAAAGUUGAUGCUAAAGGAAAUAAUAAAUAUGCAUGUAGAUUUUGUGGACAAGAAUAUUUUGUGACAAAAGGCAAAAGUACGACACAUGAAUGGUCAUAUUGAUAAAUGUCCAAAGAAUCCUUAUAAAGUUGAAAAAGGUCAAAAACAAUUACAAUUUCAAACAUUACCGGGAGGUAAUAAAGGUGAUCUUAUUCCAUGAAAAUUUGAUCAAGAAGAGUGUAGGUUGGCUUUGUGUCGUAUGGCGAUUGUUGAUGAACUUCCGUUUAGUUUUGUUGAGAAGGAAGGCUUUAGGAAAUUUAUGAAAGUAUGAAUUACCGUUUAGUUUUGUUGAAAAGGAAGGAUUUAGAAACUUUAUGAAAGUCGCACAACCUUCUUUUCAUUUUCCUUCCCAUACUACUGUUACACAGGAUUGUUUUGCUCUUUUAAUGUGGAAAAAAAUAAAUUAAUGAAGUUUCUUAAAGGAACAAGUCAAAGAGUAAGUCUAACCACCGAUACAUGGACUUCUAUUCAAAAAAUUAACUAUAUGUGCAUCACAGCUCAUUGGAUUGAUAGUGAAUGGAUUAUGCAUAAAGAAUUAUUAACUUUUCUACAAUAUAUACUACAAGAAAUGAAGAAAAUAUAUAAGGGAAUAAAUAUAUACAAAAUAUAUAAUAUAUACUAAUUAGUACACCACAAUAUAUACAUAAUAUAUAACAUAUAUUAAUUAAUGCAACACAAUAUUCAAUGGAAUAUAUAUUAUAUAUUAUAUGUACUAUAAUAAUAACCUUAAUAUCAAUUAUAUACU